UUUAACCUUGUCCGAGGCUCCGUGCCUCCCGUGUGACUCUCUGCCCGAGACCCUGGGGCGGCCAGUUCUGCUGCCGCCGCCGAAGCGCUGCGGGAAUGCGCAGCUCCCUGUUGAAAAUCUCUGCUCUAAAUCUCAGCCUAGAGCUCGCCUCGCAGUCGUUUUUGGAAGUUUCAGGCUCAAGAGGUCGAGGUGAUGUGGGGUCCCGGCGAGCGUCUCUGCAGCAGCAGCCUCGGGCUGCAGGAGCUCGAGUGUUUGUGGCUGGCACUUGAAUCCAUGCUGGCCCCUUUUCCUCGGGCCGAGCUGCAAGGAGCUCAGCAGCUGCGGCAUUUAGUUAAAUUACUUCAGAUCUGUAAAUUUUCAAUAAUGGCAAUACAUUCAUUCUGCCAUUUGGAGGAGCCUGUGCCACAGAAUAAUGAUCUGAAGAAAGCUCACUCAUUUGCAAGGAAGAGUCUUCAUUUGGGAAUUAGCACUGAUGCAGCUCAAGGGUGCUUUUUCAAGUCCAGGGAUUCUCUAACUGGCAAUGGGUUUGGUGUUCCAACCAGCAGCCAAACAAAUGAUAAUUUAUUGAAAAAAAAAAACCAACAUCCAAAUGCUUCUUAUCAGACGCUUUCAGCAGAACUGUUGUUUUCCUAACACAACCUCUGGUACAAGGAUAAAAUUGGGUUUUUGUCAAAGAACAGAGUCCUGUAUCUGAAGAGCAAGAAGGUCCUUGACCUUCAGUGGGAUGAGAACUCAGAACUGACUACUGGGGACUCCCAAGCUACAGAUCAGCUGGAAUUGGCAGAUGCUGUUUCAAACAACCUAGUGAAGUGCAGGUACAUGUGGAAGUACUAUUGUGCAGCUGAACUAAAGGAAUUUUUCUGGAUAACUGCUUGCCUGUUAUUGUCGUUGGCAAGUUACAGCUAUAUAGCGUGCUUUCUAGAAACCAUUUUGGUAGGUGUGGGUUGCUUGUCAGAAAUCCAUUCUGAAGCUUGAGUGCAAAGGAAGCAGGGUACUAAUGAUGAAUAAGAAUGGAUAUCUUGAGGAUAACAAUGGAUUUUCAAAAGCAGUGGCAUUCUGGUCCUAGUCCUGCAACUGGAUUUAUUCAAAUGGACCUCGAUAGCCUGGGGGCCUGAUGAAGUUCAUGGGACUCAGGUUGCCUCAGUUUCUUCUCCUGAGUCUCAGAAAUCUUGGAAUAGAACCACUAAAUAGAAGGAGAUGACAUCACUGGGAAAGAAGAUGGUAGAAGAAACAUGAUAGAAGCUGGAGACCGUCUCUGUGAGAAUACUAGCAUGACUUCUUUUCUCUGAACAGCCAGUUAACAGGUAGCAGAAUCACUGUCUUCAUACGUUCACCAGCACUUCACAAAUGAGGCAAUUCUAGAAUUAAGGUCGUUGUUCAGAAGGAUCUUUGCCUUCCAUGAAGCACCGCGCCUUCCCAAACAAUUGCUAUCCUGUGUGUGUCAGACCACAGACCCUUCCAAAACUCCAUGGACAGAUUUUGAGAGAGCAUGAUAAUUAAGCAAUUAUUGAAGUCAGCUAUUUACACUCGAAUAUUUUUGAGCAAUAUACACCUCUCUUCACUCAAGUUUGUGUUACUACAGCACAAGCGCUGACUCUGCCUUUCGGAGCAGAGCAGUGGUUUUGGACUUUUCUCAGCAGCGCUCCUCCCAGCCUUGUUUGUACUAAUAAAGUAGUGUAAACAGCGAA
Molecule: long non-coding RNA, 1688 nt
Organism: Vidua chalybeata
Lineage: Eukaryota; Metazoa; Chordata; Aves; Passeriformes; Viduidae
Exons: 10
Source: RefSeq, a predicted model, not a curated record